ACUUAUCAAGAGUGGUUGAGGGACAGGCCCGAUGACACCACAGCAACCUGCUUUAUGUAAGGUGCUAAUACCUGCGUUGACCGAAUGAUGAG
RNAcentral lists this non-coding RNA (92 nucleotides) under uncultured Eubacterium sp. Its description in RNAcentral is "SAM riboswitch (S box leader)". It matches the Rfam family "SAM riboswitch aptamer (S box leader)". From Rfam's summary of the family: The SAM riboswitch is found upstream of a number of genes which code for proteins involved in methionine or cysteine biosynthesis in Gram-positive bacteria. Lineage: Bacteria; Bacillati; Bacillota; Clostridia; Eubacteriales; Eubacteriaceae. The record is from RNAcentral.